GGACAGGUGGCUGAGUGGUUUAAGGCACUCGACUCGAAAUCGAACGAAGUCUAAAAGCUUCCGUGGGUUCAAAUCCCACCCUGUCCG
RNAcentral lists this transfer RNA (87 nucleotides) under Verrucomicrobia bacterium LW23. It matches the Rfam family "tRNA". From Rfam's summary of the family: Transfer RNA (tRNA) molecules are approximately 80 nucleotides in length. Their secondary structure includes four short double-helical elements and three loops (D, anti-codon, and T loops). Lineage: Bacteria; Pseudomonadati; Verrucomicrobiota. The record is from Rfam by way of RNAcentral. RNAcentral also lists the same sequence under 2 other names.